This 73-nucleotide transfer RNA is filed under the name Vicugna pacos (alpaca). Its description in RNAcentral is "tRNA-Ala (AGC) (tRNA-Ala-AGC-655-1, tRNA-Ala-AGC-655-2)". It matches the Rfam family "tRNA". Rfam says of the family: Transfer RNA (tRNA) molecules are approximately 80 nucleotides in length. Lineage: Eukaryota; Metazoa; Chordata; Mammalia; Artiodactyla; Camelidae. The record is from RNAcentral.
GGAGAGUAUAGCUCAGUGGUAGAGUGCAUGCCUAGCAUGCAUGAGGUCCUGGGUUCAAUCCCCAGUACCUCCA